UAGGGAAUAUUGGACAAUGGGUGCAAGCCUGAUCCAGCCAUGCCGCGUGCAGGAAGAAGGCCUUAUGGGUUGUAAACUGCUUUUGCCAGGGGAUAAAAAGCUCGUGCGCGAGAAAUUGAAGGUACCUGGUGAAUAAGCCACGGCUAACUACGUGCCAGCAGCCGCGGUAAUACGUAGGUGGCAAGCGUUGUCCGGAUUUAUUGGGUUUAAAGGGUGCGUAGGUGGUCUAUUAAGUCAGUGCUGAAAUAUCCCGGCUUAACCGGGAGGGUGGCAUUGAUACUGAUGGACUUGAGUGAAGUCGAGGUAGGCGGAAUUGACGGUGUAGCGGUGAAAUGCUUAGAUAUCGUCAAGAACACCGAUAGUGUAGACAGCUUACUAGGCUUUAACUGACACUGAGGCACGAAAGUGUGGGGAUCAAACAGGAUUAGAUACCCUGGUAGUCCACACUGUAAACGUUGAUGACUCGCUGUUGGCGAUAUACAGUCAGCGGCUUAGAGAAAUCGUUAAGUCAUCCACCUGGGGAGUACGCCGGCAACGGUG
This 540-nucleotide ribosomal RNA is filed under the name uncultured bacterium. Its description in RNAcentral is "bacterial SSU rRNA". It matches the Rfam family "Bacterial small subunit ribosomal RNA", at positions 355 to 896 of the family's 1533-position model. The record is from RNAcentral.